CCACCAAGGCGACGAUCCGUAGCUGGUCUGAGAGGAUGAUCAGCCACACUGGAACUGAGACACGGUCCAGACUCCUACGGGAGGCAGCAGUGGGGAAUAUUGGACAAUGGGCGCAAGCCUGAUCCAGCCAUACCGCGUGGGUGAAGAAGGCCUUCGGGUUGUAAAGCCCUUUUGUUGGGAAAGAAAUCCAGCUGGUUAAUACCCGGUUGGGAUGACGGUACCCAAAGAAUAAGCACCGGCUAACUUCGUGCCAGCAGCCGCGGUAAUACGAAGGGUGCAAGCGUUACUCGGAAUUACUGGGCGUAAAGCGUGCGUAGGUGGUCGUUUAAGUCUGUUGUGAAAGCCCUGGGCUCAACCUGGGAACUGCAGUGGAAACUGGACGACUAGAGUGUGGUAGAGGGUAGCGGAAUUCCUGGUGUAGCAGUGAAAUGCGUAGAGAUCAGGAGGAACAUCCAUGGCGAAGGCAGCUACCUGGACCAACACUGACACUGAGGCACGAAAGCGUGGGGAGCAAACAGGAUUA
Molecule: ribosomal RNA, 523 nt
Filed under: Stenotrophomonas maltophilia
Lineage: Bacteria; Pseudomonadati; Pseudomonadota; Gammaproteobacteria; Lysobacterales; Lysobacteraceae
Description: bacterial SSU rRNA
Rfam family: Bacterial small subunit ribosomal RNA
Source: RNAcentral